CGUAGGGUCCAAGCGUUAUCCGGAAUCACUGGGCGUAAAGCGUGCGUAGGUGGGUAAUUAAGUGCGAUGCGAAAUCCUGUGGCUCAACCAUAUGGACUGUACCGCAUACUGGUUAUCUAGAGGAUAUGAGAGGCAAGUGGAAUUACCGGUGUAGCAGUGAAAUGCGUAGAUAUCGGUAGGAACACCAAUGGCGAAGGCAGCUUGCUGGCAUAUUUCUGACGCUAAGGCACGAAAGCGUGGGGAGCGAACAGGAUUAGAUACCCUGGUAGUCCACGCCGUAAACGAUGCAUACUAUUAGUAUGGAGCAUCGACCCUCUGUGCUAAGAAGCUAACGCGUUAAGUAUGCCGCCUGGGGAGUACGAUCGCAAGAUUA
RNAcentral lists this ribosomal RNA (373 nucleotides) under uncultured organism. RNAcentral's name for it is "bacterial SSU rRNA". It matches the Rfam family "Bacterial small subunit ribosomal RNA", at positions 526 to 896 of the family's 1533-position model. The record is from RNAcentral.